RNAcentral lists this long non-coding RNA (256 nucleotides) under Amborella trichopoda. RNAcentral's name for it is "long non-coding RNA (ATRI_LNC001515)". The record is from RNAcentral. Lineage: Eukaryota; Viridiplantae; Streptophyta; Magnoliopsida; Amborellales; Amborellaceae.
AUGUGAUCUGUUUUGCAGGCUGUAAAUAGCUUUAUUCAGCUUUUUCAAGGAUUAAAUGGUGGAAAAAUUGGUUGUUUUUGGAUCAAGAAAAAUUCGGGGUUUGGGUUUCCGCCAUUUCUGAAAUUUCAUGCCAAAUAGGGCAUGAAUCUUUCAAAAUUUGUAGGCAUAUUGAUCUUAAAGCUGUGAAUCAAAAGCUUUUGUUACUAAUUUGUGAUAAUCGUUGAGAAAAACAGAGUUUUUUGGAGAUUGAAGGCUU